UCUCUUUCUCUCUCUUUUCUCAGAUGCCCUCUCUCUCCCUCGUUUCUCUCUUUUUCUCUCAAGUCAGCUGUUUUCUCGAGCUCUGAUGACCAUGUUGCCGACCUCCAAAUUCUACACACGCCUGAUUAGAAGAUUUAGAAGCCACCAAACUAUCAGCCUCGCGAGCCACCAGACCUCACUCGCUGAUUAAGCCUCCCAAACAAUCGCUCGAAGUUCUGACGUCAAUUAUGGUUUUAUCUUCGAUCCGGCCACCUUGAGCCUCUGUUGGCCAAGCGACCACCACCAUCAUGUUCUCUACAUCGCAGGCUUCAAAACCCACAAAAAUAUCAUACUUAAUGGUCAUCGGAGUUUGAAGUCGACGUUCUCCAGAAUCCGCAGAGAUUUAUGAACUUUCAAGCUUAGAUCCGAGCUUUUCUAAGCCAUUCCAAUCUAAACCACCACCACCACCACAACAUUCCCAUGGCUUGGGCUUCAAAACAAAGUAGUUAGUUUCCCGAACCCCCACUAUUGAGUGGUGGCACCAGCGUCGUCGCCGGAGCUCUGCCAUGAGUCACGGUCGGCGACCACCUCAGGGGCUUCAAAGCCUACUUUCGAGCUCCACAGAGUAGCGUUCAACUCAUGUCGAAUCCCAAACAUGGUGGAAAAUAGCUUUGGUGGCGGGAAAGGUUCUUGGAAGCUUGGGGAUGUGUAUUGAGGCGGAAUGGAAUCAAAGGACCGAGAGUUCGAUUCGAGGAUGAAGUCUCUUUAAUUAUGGUUUCCUAUGUAUUUUUCUGCAAUUGGUUGUAAUAAGUUUUAAUUAAGUUUUCAUUAUGUCAAAGUUAUGUUUUGUUUCUAACAAUGGGAUCCCAAUGUCAUACUUAUGAAUUUUAUAUAGUUUUAAGCCUCUACCCUA
Molecule: long non-coding RNA, 892 nt
Organism: Humulus lupulus (European hop)
Lineage: Eukaryota; Viridiplantae; Streptophyta; Magnoliopsida; Rosales; Cannabaceae
Exons: 2
Source: RefSeq, a predicted model, not a curated record